AAUGGAGAAGAACUCUGACGCAGCAAUACCGCGUGAGCGAAGAAGGUCUUCGGAUCGUAAAGCUCUGUUAUCAGGGAAGAAGAAAAUGACGGUACCUGAUGAGCAAGUCCCGGCUAACUACGUGCCAGCAGCCGCGGUAAUACGUAGGGGACAAGCGUUGUCCGGAAUCACUGGGCGUAAAGGGCGCGCAGGCGGUGAUUUAAGCAGGAUGUGAAAGGCUACGGCUCAACCGUAGACAUGCACCCUGAACUGGGUCACUUGAGUAUUGGAGAGGCAGGCAGAAUUCCUGGUGUAGCGGUGAAAUGCGUAGAUAUCAGGAGGAAUACCGGAGGCGAAGGCGGCCUGCUGGACAAAUACUGACGCUGAGGCGCGAAAGCGUGGGGAGCAAA
RNAcentral lists this ribosomal RNA (389 nucleotides) under uncultured bacterium. RNAcentral's name for it is "bacterial SSU rRNA". It matches the Rfam family "Bacterial small subunit ribosomal RNA", at positions 370 to 772 of the family's 1533-position model. The record is from RNAcentral.